This 301-nucleotide ribosomal RNA is filed under the name uncultured bacterium. RNAcentral describes it as "partial 16S ribosomal RNA". It matches the Rfam family "Bacterial small subunit ribosomal RNA", at positions 509 to 809 of the family's 1533-position model. The record is from RNAcentral.
CAGUCGCCACGGUAAUACGAAGGGGGCUAGCGUUGUUCGGAAUUACUGGGCGUAAAGCGCACGUAGGCGGACAUUUAAGUCAGGGGUGAAAUCCCGGGGCUCAACCCCGGAACUGCCUUUGAUACUGGGUGUCUAGAGUAUGGAAGAGGUGAGUGGAAUUCCGAGUGUAGAGGUGAAAUUCGUAGAUAUUCGGAGGAACACCAGUGGCGAAGGCGGCUCACUGGUCCAUUACUGGCGCUGAGGUGCGAAAGCGUGGGGAGCAAACAGGAUUAGAUACCCGAGUAGUCCCUGUCUCUUAUAA